GCCAAGUCUUCUUGUUUUAGAACUGAGCCUAUAAAUGCAGUUAAAUAUUUAAAAAAUUGUGUUUUUUUUAAACUGUCAAAUCAAUCAAACAUAAAUUUUUAAAAUGAAUACUAUUAUGAAAACAAAUCUUAUUUUAGAUUAUUUAUUUUUUAAACAUGAUUCAUGGGGCAGAUAGGUAUCUGGCCAGUGUAGUUAUCAAUCUGACCAAUCACCAUAGGUAUCUGGCCAGUGUAGUUAUCAAUCUGACCAAUCACCAUAGGUAUCUGGCCAGUGUAGUUAUCAAUCUGACCAAUCACCAUAGGUAUCUGGCCAGUGUAGUUAUCAAUCUGACCAAUCACCAUAGGUAUCUGGCCAGUGUAGUUAUCAAUCUGACCAAUCACCAUAGGUAUCUGGCCAGUGUAGUUAUCAAUCUGACCAAUCACCAUAGGUCACUGGCCAGUGUAUUUAUCAAUCUGACCAAUCACCAUAGG
Long non-coding RNA from Oncorhynchus keta (chum salmon), 470 nucleotides. RefSeq lists it as uncharacterized. The record is from RefSeq and is a predicted model, not a curated record. The transcript is spliced from 3 exons. Lineage: Eukaryota; Metazoa; Chordata; Actinopteri; Salmoniformes; Salmonidae.